Molecule: non-coding RNA, 4931 nt
Organism: Ictidomys tridecemlineatus (thirteen-lined ground squirrel)
Lineage: Eukaryota; Metazoa; Chordata; Mammalia; Rodentia; Sciuridae
Source: RefSeq, a predicted model, not a curated record
AUAAGGAAGACUGCAGUCCCGAGAACCGAGCGAAGAAAGGCAGUUGUGAAUUUGGGAUCCUCACCUCGGGCCUUGCGCCGAGUCUCCUGGUCACCGAGGCUGGGUGGCUUCUCCAUGGAGCUCAGGAUGGAGCCCAGGUCCUCUGACUCUUCAUCCUAUCUGAGGGCUGUCUGGAUCACUGCUCUUUCUCCAAAAGCCUUCGGAGCCCAGUCUCAAUAUUGUGUAAUUUAUCCCGAGACCCCUGACCUUGUACUUUCGGAAUGCCGUCUGGAUGACUCGGGCUGCCUCAUACAGUUCCCGCUGCUCAUGAUCUGAUAGUGUCAGCAGGGCAAAAUCACUUUCCAUCUUGCCACUGGUAGAUGCAGAGAGAAACUCUGCCCAGGAAGGUGCUGGAGGGAUAGCCAGGCGGCCUCGCUCAAAGGACAGUUCACUGUGGGAGAUAAGAAGGAAUGUCAAGGAGCAUCUGAAAUCCCUGUUGUCCCACUGAGAGGUGGCUGUGAAGGAAGAUCCCCGGCAACCGGAGAGAGUGGCUUCCAAGCACAUCAUUCAAUUCAGUUUCCUUUCCAAAUGGCCUAGGGCCUCAACCAGAAUGGAGCUUUGGCUGUAGGGAAGCUGUGCUUUUUUCCCUUCCUCCCAUCUUUCUUUGAAGAAGAAUCUGGAGAUUUUGUCCCAGCUGAUCACCUGGGAGGGGCAGAGCUGGGGAAGUGGUCCACAUUCUCCAGGUAGCUGGCCAGCCAGGACAUGGUCUCACUGAGCCCCACGGCCCCUGUCCGCUCCCUGCCAGCCUCGGGUAGCCCCACAAAGUCCUCUCGUUUAAUCCGUUCUGGUGUGGCUUCAAUGAUCUGCUUGGCUAGUGAGAUCAUGUCCACCUAAAUAAAGGGAGAAGCUGCAUGAGCCACGAGAGGCCCCAACUUCCAGAUGUCCUUACCCUGUCAAAGCUGUCACCUCAGUCUGCUCCUUGUCUGGUUCCUUCUCAACAUCAGAUACUGAGUCCUCAGGGACUGCUCUCCUGCUCUUUUCUUCAUUAGCCACUGUUCUAGAUUCAUUAAUUCUUGCUGGCUUCCCCUUGAGGGUUCAGCCUUUUGUGCUGAGAUGUGGAGAACAUAGAAUAAGAGGACAUACUCCAAAUGGGGAUUCAGGAGUUGAGCAAAUGCUAUCCUUCUAACUGUCCCACCUGGACCUGCCUAGUGCCAGCCAAUAGCAUAUCUUCCCCAUAGGUUUGGCUAUGCUUGCACCCCAAUCCCUUCAGCUCUCUGAGAACCACUCAGUUCUUGCUGACCACAUGACAUGACACUUUAGUGAAUGGCUCCAGCCUGGCCUUUGCUCCAGCCCGGCCUUUGCUCCAGCCCUAAAGCCUGUAGCACUUCCUGUUGACCAGAUUCCAUGUAGCCCACACUGUGGAGUUCUCAAGUUUUUUUGUACUUAGAGGCUGCUACCUAAUUAUUCAGCCUCUCUAAAGCAAGUAUGUCCACAGAUUCUAGUAGAGGAAUAUGUGGUCACAUUUGAAGAUUCAUUUUUUUUCUUAUUCAUUCCACCAGACUGUCUUAGCUUUUACCAUGUGCAAGUCUUCUUCCCAUUUUAGACCACACUGUCAAGUACCUACAUCUUGUCUGUUUAUACAGUUCCCCAGCUGCCUAUCAUCUCUGUGGUACUUCAAGAAUCCUGUCCUUUUAUGAUCAACAGGUAACUCUACAACACAGCUCUAAGAUAUUCCCCAGAUUUCUUAACCUCUGCUGCCUAUUGACUGCUGAGUUACAGGAUCUGAAAGGAGUGGAGCAAAGGGGUUACUUUGCCUGUCCCAAAAUGAGAAUAAAUGGCCUUUCUUCCCAAACCGAAGUCAGACACUGAUUCUGCUUCAUGAAAUUGUCUUGCUUUACUCCAUCUCUGCACCCCACUCCACUUUUAACCCUCCUAAUUCCAUCAGCAUAAACAGUACCGGAAUCACAUCCACAGCAGGUGAGCUGUCGGUGUCCUCUGGAGCAGCCCCAUCAUCUGGGGCUGGUGGGAGGACAGGAGGGGAGGGUGGGGACCCUUUGGAGUUGGUAGCUUCAAAGUCCAUGAGGAGUAGGGGUGCCUCUGGGGCAUCAGAGGAGAGUUGGCUUGGGACCAUCUCCUCCAUAGUAAUCUCAGAGGCUGACAUAGGAGCAGGGGGAGGACUGCCAUCCGGGGCACUAGAGUAGGCGGAUGUGAUGGAGAAAGUGCCAUCUGAUAGCUCCGAGGGUGAGGAGACGCUGCUUAGACCUGUGAGGUGAGGGAAGAGGGCGAGGGCAGCAGGAGCUACAGGCCAUCCCUCAAGUCUCCUACCCUCCCUCCCCUGGCUGUUCUUGCUCCUGUUAUCUCCCCAUCCCUGCCUCUUUCUCUCCCAGUUUAUCUCCUGCCCUUUGGCUUUUCCUUGGCCUAUCCUAACCAUACCCCUCACUCAAAAAGAUCAGGGGCAGCCCUCACCAGUGUCUGAGCUGGAGGAAGGCGGUGACAGGGCAAGUGAGGGUUCAAUUGAAGCUUCCUGUCUCUGCAGUUCCUCAAGGCAGCGGGCAAGGCGUACGUGACCCCGGGAGUGAGCCACAGUCAGGGGUAGACGGCCCAGAGAAUCAGGAAUGCUCAGUGCCUGACGGUUCCAACGGAAAAGGAGCACAGCAGCUUCCAGGUGUCCCAGGGCACAAGCCCACAUCUGAGGAGACGGAGGUGGAGGGGUGUUCCAGAUCCUCAUCCCCUGGCACCUUCUGACCCAAUGACUGUCCAGCCCCCUCCCUGCUGCCCUGCUCACCGCCACUGGCUCAGGGUCUCGAUGAGGCGCGCAUAGCCCUGAGCAGCAGCCAGGUGCAGAAGACUCAUGCCUCGGAAGGGGCUUCCAUGGAUCAGACGUUCAGGACCUCUCCAGGUAGAGCGUGGGAUCAUGUUUUCUACCAAGAUGACCACCCGUGCCUCAAAUCCAGGCCCUUGGCCUUCAUCCUGUAGUACACAUACCCAUAUGCAAAUAUUUUUGCAUCUGGUCUCCUGGCUUAUUCCCCUAGCUUCUAACCCUGCUCCUUCCCCACACUUCCUAUUCUAGGUAACCAUCACCCAGAUCUGUGAUAUGUGAUAGCCCAUGGUUCUUUCCAGUUUGAAUUCCUAUGUGGCCUCAGUAUCCUCCAUUUCCACAGCCCAUUUGCUCUAACAACUCUGAAAGCCAGGCUUUACACACUCUUGCCCAUAUUGUACCUUUACAGCAGCUCAGAAUUGUGCCAUCCCCACAUGGCUUCUCCCCUUAAGAGCCAGAGUCUUCUCAGCCUUUCCCUAGCCCUCUUCCUUUAGAGAUUUGGGACCCUCAGAGCUUUGAGCCCCAAUUCUUCUGACCCCCUCCCCCACCUGCUCCUUUACCUCCACCCUUCUUCAGACCAGAAAUAGUCUGAAGCCUGUCAUGCCAAGAGGGUGCCCAGAAUAGCCACUCUUGCCAUGGGAUGGGGGUGGGAGUAGGGUGAUGUCAGAGAGAGGGAGGAAGACUGGCUGAGGAAGCUGGGGACAGGCAAGUGAGGACAGGCAUCUGCUACAGCCAUUUUCUUUAGUGGACCCUCCUCCCUUUCCCCACUGUAGACCCACCAUCUGGGGAUGAUGGGAGGACAGGAGGGGAGGGUGGGGACCCUCCUGUCCUCAUGGAAGUACCUGAAUUGGAGGAGCCUCAGGACCCUGACAAGGUGCUUGCCCGGCUGCUGCAAUCUCUGCCAUACGCUUCUCCAUCUGCUCCAGCCGCUCCAGGAUGGACAUCCGGAACUGGUUGUCUGUGGGAAUGGGGAUGGGAGGCUAACUGGGUAGGGUCUAGGUGUUGCCUAGAAUACCAUAUUUGGACCUGUUCCUAAGUUUAGGGGUGAAGAUACAGAACCCUGUUCUUUCCCUCCAAACAAUAACCCCUUUACUCAGUCUUCUAAAUAAAGCCCACCAGGACUCAUCCUUAAACUAGGGCUCUUAAUCCCACCCAUGGACUAGAAACAGAUUCCAAGAUUUGAAUUAAGGUUGGUUCCUUUUAGACAGUGGUGAUAGGAAUUCCCCAACAGCCAUCCAACCCCCAACUGUCCUAAAUCACACAUGGCAUGCCCUCUACUAGCCUUUUCCUAAGCAGAAUAUUCCGCCAGUUCUUGCCCCAGACACUACCUUUGUCUCCCAUUCUGGAGCUGAAAGACUCGAGGAUCCCAACUCUCUGUUAACCACUCCCCAAAAGAACUCAGGAACUGAUUUGAAAAGCACCACCCUCUCCUCCCAGCCCCCCACAGCUGUCCACAAAGAGGUGGGGAGUGGAGUGACAGAGAGGGAUAGCCAUGUCCAUUUCUCCUCCCCCUCCAACCCCUACACAUAUGCGCACACAUAAACACAUACACAAUCUAAGCUUUAUCUGAACCCCUCCCGAGAUCAAAUAAAGACUGAAAAAGGAUCUGAAUCAAGGGAAAGCAGGCACAGAAACAAGGUGAAGGCUGGGCAUGUUCUAAGAUGCUGGCAUAGAAGAGAAUGAAUAUACAGAGGUGACGGUAAGAGGAAAGUAGAGAAUGAUGAGCAAAAACCCAAGUAGGAUAGAGAAAAGAGCAGGAAAGCUAAAUAAGGUGAAAGUAAAGAGAGAAAGGACAAAGGAGCAGAGGAAGCAUUAGCCAAGCAAUAAGGAAAGAAGACAGAGGCAAGGUCAGAUGCUGGUUUCAGAAGAAAUGGCUAGAUCCCAAGGUAGGCAAACUUGAGUCACAUACAGGCAACUCAGCACAUACAAACUUGGGUUUUGUGACAAGACUGGCUCCAAGAGAGACAAGGCUCAGGAUAUGACUUAGUGGUACAGCACUUGCCUAGCAUACUCAAGGCCCUGAGUAUAAUCCCCAGCACUAUACCCUCCCUUGGGGGAAAAAAAAAAAGGCUGAGGACCAAAGCCUCAGAAGUAGUGAUGGCAGCAAGAACUGAAAGAAACCAACAGGUAACAA